AUAAGAACAAUGUUCAGGAUUUGGUUCUCCCCUUCCACCAUGUGGGUCCUGGGAACUGAACUCAGGUGGUCAGGCUUAGCAGCAGGUAGGUGUCUUUCCUCUCUUGGCCAUCUUGUUAGUCUCUGUGUCUAAUGUUUGUAUAUUUAUGUCUUGGUUAUGACUCUCUGCGGAGAAAAUGUCUUAUUGAGGAAUUAUGCCUAUCUCAUGAGACUGAAUGAGUCAAAGGCAGAACGUCUGCUUUCCAGCUUACAGACAUAAAGCCAGUGCAGUGUCACAGCUCUAUCCUUGACCAGACAGACACGGAAGUCUGAAUGAUCAGGCACCAUGUGCAUUCUCAUCCCCUCUGCUACAUGACUGGAAACAUUUGUAGCUACGUGGACUGCCCCAGCUUUGCUUGUUAUGGACAGGAAGAGUGGCUGCCAUCUUCAUUGUCCGUAGGCAAGAGGAAGGAUACAUUGACAAAGGGCAGCUUCAUGGAGAGUCAGUGUGAUUGUUUCAAGAAACAACAUAAGCUUCGCACCAUAGCUGCUCUCUAGAUAGUCCUCAUCUCAGAACUGUCUCUAAGACUACGCCUGCAUUCCCCUAUCCAACAUCACACCAACAUUGAAUGAAUUCAUUUCCAGGGAGACCUUAUUUAUCACAAUGGAAAACGGCUCAUCUACCCAAGGUCACCGCUCAAAUUGAAACCUGAAACACAUCUAUAAGUGAGUCGCUGUCUCAGAGCCAAGUCUUCUGACAAGGCCAGGGUGAGUCGUGUUCAUAGAAAGAGCUACUUAUACAGAAGAUACUGUUUUGAUCCGCACCCCUUGCUGGCAAGCUUAACAGGAAGAUUGUUGGAAAAAGCAUAGGGAAAGAAAGGUCUUACUGAAUGCUGGGGGGGAUUCUUUGCUUUUAAAACAGUGUAUGAGUUGCCGACGAGAGCCGCUGAAAGACUAUGGGGCUUUGGAGGAAAUAAAGAGUUAUUUUAGGAAGACAGAAACAAGGACCAAAUGUUGGACUGGGGAAAUUCAUUACAGACAUGUCAUUCAUUAUAAAUGAAGAGAAACACAGCAAUCUCCUAGCACCCAGACCCAACACAGCCAUGUCUGCAAACCCAGCCCACGGAUGCAGAAGGGAUGUGGUUUGAUUUGUUCUGUUUGGUUUUAAGGGGCAGGAUUUGCCCUCACUGUCUCCUAUCAUUCCACGAAGCGUUAGUUUCUGGACACUGAUUUGCUGGACUGUAUUUAAGGUAACAUCUCAGAGCACAAAUAGGGAAGCUAUCUUUCCGAAAGACUUUCUCCUCAGCUGUAAGGGGCCUCAGGAAACGGCACAGUCCUGGCAAGCCCUGCGUCCUUCCCAGAUCCUACUCAUCACCACCUCUGCAUCAUUACUGGGCUGGAGAAUAAGAGGAAUAUGCAAAUCUGCCUGUACAGCUUGCCUUUAGGCAGAAGCGAUCUCCAGAGCCCUCAAGCCAUCUGCCAUGGUCAAGAUUAAAUGAGAAGAAGCUCAGGGGCAGAGACCUUUCCAUUCCCAGAGCUUAGCAUUUGGCGUUAGUUCCCAGAUCUUGUUGAUUUCCAGAACACUCAGCACUAACUGUCCUUCAUAUCCACCACGUGGCGCACUCACAGCUUCUUCCUGCCCCUCCUAGGAAAGCUCAGUGAAGUUCGCAUUUCUCCUUUGGAAUUGUCUCCCUAGUGACCAGGAGAGCGGUAGCUCAGAACAGCCACUCAGUACUUCUUGACCUAAUCGUCAUCAGCAAGGCCUCAUACCCGUUUAAAGGUUGAAUGAAACAUAUCUACCAGACACACCAACAUAUUAACAUGAGUGCCUCUGACCUAUAAGAGGCGGUAGGGAGAGUUUGGCAAAGUGUGUUCAUGUAAACCAUGAAGGAAAAUGAUUUAUGACACUCCUCAGAUGCAUCAAACUAGAGGCAAUAGCUGAUAGUACUCAGCAGUCCAAAGGAUAAGUUUGCAAAGGGUAGGUCCUUGAAUGGCAACAGCAAGCAGGGAUGCCUACUAAUGUCACAGCAAACAUGUGACAACAGCAAGGACCAAACUCCUGCUCCCACUGAAAUGUGGGGCUUGUUUGUUAUGGAAGCAUGGUCUAGCCCACCCUUGCUGAUACAUACACCAUAAGACUUAGAAUGCUACCUUGAAGGGGACAAUACUAUACUAUUCUAUACUCCAUUUACUGACAUCCUAAAGUUACAAGACAAAGACAGCCCCGCUCCCCAAGCAAAGAAUACAUGCAAACUCUUCAAGACCCUUGAUCCAUAUCUGCCUUCAAUAAAGUAUAAAAUAAUUAAUGGCUAUUUGCAGCAGAUAUCAAAUUGUUUAUCAUCCAUCAUCAGGGUUUUCAAUCUUUAUUGUAAGGUGAAUCCUUCCUGCAGUGUCAUCCCCAGUAACCAUUCAUAGAAACAGGAAGGAACCUUGGAGGUCAACUGCAUUCUCCAGUUGAUACUUGUCACUCUGCCACUAAAAUUCUGAUUCUGCAUUUCCCUGGGUCGCCUCUGCUCAUCACUUGAACUCACUAAUCGUUCUGUCUCACCUGCACACAUCUUGCUCCCAAACAUAGACACUGUUUGGUUCCUCCAGUAGCCAAAUCUGCCCACACUCCUGCAGUGUGCAGUAAAAGACCCACUCCCGCCAGAGCUAAGAUACAUCUCAUGGGGAUUCUGGAGUUGCCUGUCUUCUUCCCCCUGUAAGUAGCAAACGUCUUUUUGCUUUGUGGCUCACAUGGUCCUCCUCAAGAUCAUUCGAUACCUGCUGCAGCGUAAGCAAUUUUAGACAUCACACGUCACAUGUACUCUGGUAAAAUAUGAUAUAUGGAAUACAGGGAGCCUCACUGGACAGCAUCCUGGUCUCUGGCUUGCUGAGCCUUGGAUUAUAGUAUUCUAGUCUGCUUAUUGUUGUUUUGAUAAAGACAAUGAGGGAAAGCAGCUUGGGUGUGGAAAGGGUUUAUUUCGUCUUACAACUCAUGGUCUAUCACAGGGAAAGUUAGGGCAGUAACUCAAGCAGGAACCUGGAGGCAGGAGGCAGCAUCCCUUCAUAGUCUUUGCAAGCUGAGCUUGCCUGCCAUAAUUGUUUAGCUUACUUUCUUAUACCAUCCAGGCGACCUGCCCAGAGGUGGAACUGCACAUGGAUCAAGUAAAUGUCUCACAGACUUGCCCAGAGCCCAGUCUGACAGGUAUACUUUCUCUGUUGAGAUCUCCUCUUCCCAGCUGACUUUGGCUUGUGUCAAGCUCUAUCUAACCAGCUUGGCUAGUAUGCACAGGGUCUGGAAUGUGAACCUGUCUAACAUUAAUUAUGACGGCGUAGACCUGUAAGGCUAGUGCUCAGGAGGUGGAAGCAGGGGGAUUCAAAACUCAAGGUCAUCCUCUGCACAUAACAAAUUUCACAAAAUUUUGUGAAAUGUUCUUUCACAAAAAGAACAUUUUUUUAAAAAAAAUCCCCUUUUUGUUUGUUUGUUUGUUUAUCUAACUACCUUCUCAACUUUCUCCUUUGUCCCGACUCUGCCUUUCCUAGGAGAAGGAGCCAUUUAUGUGCGUUUGAAGUCCAGGAGGAAAAGGGUCAGAAACACAGGCAAGCAUGCAAGCUGGUGUGCACCGCUCUCUGUGUCUGUUUAUUAUGGCCGUCAGGCCUCCCAGGGAAACCAACACACAGUUGGCUGGAGAAGCCACAGCUGAAUACACUCAGGCGAGGAUUCCUGGGAGCCAUCAUUUCCACUGUAGGUUGAAAGUCAGAUAUUUUGUGUGGCUCUCAGCUCCUAGUUGCUUCUUGCUUUUUGAAAAAGAGGAAGUCAACAAAAUGAGCAAGUUAUUUCCAAGUGGAGUGCCUUCCUCCAGCUCAGAGGUCUAUGGAAAUUACAAAGUCCAGGGAAAGGAGCCUUGUUCAGAAGUUCCAAAUGUUCUUGGAGUGGUUUUUACCAGUCCUGAAAGAGCCCCACGUGACUCACGGAGCAGGACUGGAAUAGCCCCACGUGACCCAUAGAGCUAUCACCAAGUUACCUUAUUUGAGACUUUUAAUCCAAGCAGUUUAUAAACACAGGAUGCUUUCCAAAAGUGUUCCUCCCUUUCUCUCCCAUUUAUGGAAACAAAAGCAAAUGUUUUACAAGGGCAGAGACACUGAACUCUUCUUCUUUUGCUGGAUGCCUGAGGAGCCCUGGGAAAGUAUGGAGUAGGUAGAGAGGGAGGAAGAAACUGGACCCUGGCCAAGCUGGCCCUGCUGCUUAAUGGUGCCCCAGAUGUCUGAAGCAGCCUCAACAGAUGGGCCAGCGCUCUUUGUUUGAAUUUGAAAUUAUAAGUAGAAACAUAAGGCAGAUGUUUGCCUCCCUCAAAGGGAAGAAUAUUAAGAAGGAAGGCAUUUAGAGAAUAAGGAAGCCAAAGCCAUUGUCCUAACUUGCAUUGAAGUUUCUCAUUCAAAUCCCCAUUAGGAAACUGCCCCUCUCUAGUCAGAAGUUAGGGCCAUCGCUACCUUCUUUUGAUGGUUAAUGUAAGCUACCAACGUGGUUCGAUUAGUCAUCUAAGAGGCAUUCCUCUGGGCAUGACUAUAAGAGCAUUACUAGAGAUUUUUAACUGAAUACAAACCUACCAUGAUUGGGGGGCUCGGGACUAUCCAGAGUCUGGGGCUCUAAAUGGAAGUAGGCAAGAAAAUGAGCUGAGUACGAGCAUUCAUUUCUUCCUGCUUCCUGACUGCGGAUGCGCUGUGACCAGCUGCUUCAAGUCAAUGACCACAGCGCUCUCUCUACCCCAGACAGCCUUCCAUGUCAAAAUAAACUCCUUUUCCUUAGGGUGUUUUCAUCAUAGUGAUGGGAAAAAGAAAGAUAACCAAUACAUUGACCUUGUUUGUGGGUGACAGAGGAGACCCUCUGCCAAUUCGAUCUUGGGUUGACACCCUGGAGAGAUUUUCUAAAAGGAUAGUGUGCCCUCCUUUGGCUAACAACACACUGUAGAAACAGUAGGAAUUGAACCUUGGUGGUCAGGCCUGGUGGAAAGGACCCUUUACCCACCGAGUCAUUUUGCUGGCCCAGGGUGUGGAUUUCAGAGGUUAAUAAAUAAGAUCAAGACAGAGUGGCAUCGUUGUGGGUUAGCAAUGAGGCCUCUCUUAAAAAGAACUCCUGGAGGUCUUGCAUGGGCCCCUCUCUUCCCAACAGGCAGACUACUCUGAUUGCUAAAUGAAUUCUUCAGGGUCUAACAUGACAAAAUCUUUAUUGUUUUAAUGAGCGAGUCUUGGGUCUUUUGAUUCCAAUAGCGUCUGCAGAUGUAGGCUGUGGGAGUUUAUGUACUGCCUCAGGAGUGGUACUGUACCAAGCUCUGGCCUGCAGCUUGAUUCUGCUUGAGGGUACAGAUUCCUGUGAUCUUCCUCCAUUCACUUCAGAGAAAAGGCGAGCUGUAAAGCUGUUUUCAGAAAGACUACAGGAUGCUGGGACCACAGACCUAGUACGGUAUCUCUCAAGAUGACAGGAUCCCUAAGAGGUGGGAAUGACUAUGUCAAAGUUGGCUGUGCUUUAUACCUGGUGCACAGGUUUGUUCUCCAACACCAUACACGAUACAUCCUUCCUCUUUAUGGUAGUGCUGCCUCUGGACCCCACUUGACACUUCUUGGUGGUCCACUGAGGUUGAACUUGCUUUGAGACACAUUCUUCUUCUCCCUCCUGAUGUUCAGACUUGACUGGACCAUCAAAAGGCAGUUGCUUUACCCGUUCAUCCUUUCUCCAGACCAUCUUAUGAGAUCUGGCACUUUUCCUCUUGCUUGGCUAAAUGAUGACUGGACAAGGACAUCACAUCCAGUUCAGCAGAGUACAGGACUUUCCACUUGUUCCAGAAAAGAGGUGGGGAAAUAAUCCUACUCUCUUUGUUCUAGGUAAUUUUUAUCUCAAAAAAUUGUGUGUGUGUGUGUGUGUGUGUGUGUGUGUGUGUGUGUGUGUGUGUGCAUGUGGUGUUGGGUAAGGAUCGAGCUGAGUGUGAUGUCUUUGGGACAAGGAGAAGUACAUGACUCCCAUCUAGAAGGUUCAAUAAAGGCAUAAUCUGAGAGGUUAUUUCAUGCCAGACUCUUGAGAAAGAUGACAGAGAGCCAAGCACGUAGCACACCACAGUAGCACACAGCAGGGAGCAUUCCCUGCCUUGACUAGCAGAAGAAAAAUGAGAUGUUGUUGCACAAGGUCCUUUUGGAGUGAGAGUUAGAACACUGGGGAGUACGGUUUGCACUCCCCAGGAAGCAGCCAGGAAAGACUCAGCCUUAGAAUUCGAGUGUGGUUCUCGGAGACAAUGUUAAGCACCGGGCCACUUACUUGCUUAUAUCCCAGCUGUGGGAUUGCCAGUGACCACCCAUUUUACAUGACUAGAUGGCGGUUGCCAUAAGAAGCUAACAAAUCCUGAUGCAAGGGGCAGCUAGCAUGCCACUCCAGUGUCUCCCUCCCUCCUUGUGGGUUAUCUUCCAUCCCAGAAUAAAUCCUGAAAAUUUCAGUCUCCCAAUCUCAGCUGAAGCAUCGCCGUGAUAUGCUUCUCUACAAUCAGCUAAGAUCUAAUAACAACGACUAUAAAAUAUCAAGUAUCCAUAAACUGCUUGCUACAAAAACCAUGAGGAACUUUGGAGAGAUGGCUUAGUGGUUAGGAGCCCUGGCUACUCUUGUUAGAGGACUGAGGUUCAAUUCUCAGCACCCACAUGAUGGCUCACACCAUCUGUAACUAGUUUCAGAGAAAUCGAAUGCCCUCUUCUGGAUGCUCUUGGUACCAGGUGUGUGAGUGGUACACAGGCAUACAGGUAGGCAAAAGACCCUACACAUAAACAAAAUAAAAUAAAAUAAUAAGAAACUAAGGAAUCAAGAAUGGGCAGGGUGAACGUGGGGAACAUGGGUAAUAAAAACAUUGAAUCUUGAUAGAAAUUCUGAAGUAACUUAAACAACAGAACCUGUGUUGAGCUGGAUUCUGAGUGAAGAUUGAUGGCUAGAGACAGGGGCAUUACUUGUGUCCCAGGUAGACAGAAAUUCAUGAAUCUGAAGCCUCCAGAUGUAAGAAGUAAACAGAGGGCUGGCUCUGGAAAGAGUCACGUUCUCCAUGACUUACUUGUGUGUGGGCCUUGGUGAUACAGGAUUGUUAGGAGAACAGCUCUUAGAAUGAUCGUAGAAUCAUUCACCUGAAGUUGACUACGCCAGUCCACUCACAGUGCGAGAAUGGCUGAUUGCAAGGCUGUGGGAAACUCUAAUUAUUAGGAGGCAAAUUGAUUUACUGUCCUCACAAAUGUGUCUCCUCCUUGUAACUUCUCAGGAUGAGAAAUGACUCUUUGAGAGGAAAAAAAAUAGAGCUUUCCUCAGCAUGCAAAGGGUGAACCAGGAGCGGAUUAGUGAAGGGCAACUACAUCAGAGAGAGCCCGGAGCCAAGGGCAGUCACGUUACCCAACACUGCCACCAGAGCGCUCGCUCUGGUUCUAAUGAUUUAUUCAGCAUUUGAAACAUCCAGCUCUCUUCAAAUAUUUAUAACACUUCCUGGUUGCUUUGAGGCUUUUAAUAGGGCAGAAUAAAUCUGUAAGUAUUGAAAAAUUGUCAGCAAAUGGGCCAUAGUGUGAAUAACCGAAACGCAAGCUGUAAGGCUGUAGCCAUUUGCUUUAUUUUGGCCAGAGAAAAAUGUUGCAAUAAUCUUUUCCCAGCAUCACUGCUUUGGAUGAGUUUGCCUCUGAGUUUCAUUAAUCAGGGGCUCUUUAAUUACGUGAUAAAACUCCAUUGACAGGAUGAUGCUCUGUCCACUCAGCAAAAUGUUAAGAGAGCUGAUAUUUGUCUUUCUCUGUGUGCUGUUCUCACUCAGCCCAAGGCCUUGAUGGUGCCCUAAAGUCAAGGAGGGUUUCCCCUCAUCAGUCCGACCUCUUUGGAAAGAUCCUUGCAGGUGUAUGUCUCCUAAGUCUACUUAAGUUGAUGAAGAUUGGAGAUUGUCCCUCCACUGUGUGUGCCCCUCUGUCUCUAAUUCAUGUGCUUCGCAGGAUGACUGACCAUGUGACCGUCUUCGGGUCAGUCGGAAUGCAGAAUGCCCAUAGUUACUGUUCUGUUUCUUCUAACAUUCACCUUUCUAUAACUUUCCCACAUGGCUAAGGCACUACUACUCAGCUUGGGGGAAAAUAUAAUCUCCUUCAAUCUUACCCCCAUCUUGUCUUUAAGUCAUUGACUUAGUUAUGUCUCUUUUCCCACCCCUACAGAACUUGAUGAAAGAGAUACCUUGUCUUAACUGUGGAUCUAUUUGCAUCCCUUUCUUUCUGUGUUUGUGGGUC
This 8234-nucleotide small RNA is filed under the name Rattus norvegicus (Norway rat). Its description in RNAcentral is "uncharacterized LOC102549917". Lineage: Eukaryota; Metazoa; Chordata; Mammalia; Rodentia; Muridae. The record is from RNAcentral.